Molecule: long non-coding RNA, 466 nt
Filed under: Nicotiana benthamiana
Lineage: Eukaryota; Viridiplantae; Streptophyta; Magnoliopsida; Solanales; Solanaceae
Description: long non-coding RNA (NBEN_LNC003809)
Source: RNAcentral
GUAUCUGUUCCCUCUCUUGGUAAUCUGUCCCACUCCUAUAUCAUCAAUGCAGUUUUGGAAAUCAGUCAUUUCUGAGUUGUGUACUGGUUGCCCAUUAAGCAUGUCUUCCACUCCUAACACACUGUUGAAAUCACCUAUUAUAAGCCAUGGACCAUUGUAGUUGACAGUUCUCAGGGUAUCCCAUAGAGAUGCCCUUUGCUGUGUGGAAUGCAAUCCAUUAACAAAUGUGAUAUAGCUAGAGAAAGUGGAAUUCUUGUCUGUCACCCAGCAGCGGAUCAUUUUGUCAGUGGUUUGUAAAGGUACAACAUGGACAUUUGACCAUUUUCAUAUUAUCCAUAUCCUCCCAUUUGGUGCACAAGCAUAGUUAUUUGCAAUGUUCCAGUCAUCCCCAAGCUUCUUGUAUAUUGUCUGUGAUUGUGGUUGUUUUACUCUAGUUUCUAGACAAGCUACAAUAUCAACUUUGUUA